This 253-nucleotide ribosomal RNA is filed under the name uncultured bacterium. RNAcentral describes it as "partial 16S ribosomal RNA". It matches the Rfam family "Bacterial small subunit ribosomal RNA", at positions 524 to 776 of the family's 1533-position model. The record is from RNAcentral.
GACAGAGGGUGCAAACGUUGCUCGGAAUCACUGGGCGUAAAGGGCGCGUAGGCGGGAAUGUAAGUCGGGCGUGAAAUCCCCAGGCUCAACCUAGGAACUGCACUCGAAACUGCGUUUCUUGAGUAUCGGAGAGGAAAGCGGAAUUCCUGGUGUAGAGGUGAAAUGCGCAGAUAUCAGGAGGAACACCAAUGGCGAAGGCAGCACUCUGGGACGUGACUGACGCUGAGACGCGAAAGCGUGGGGAGCAAACAGG